CGGAUUGAAACUUGAAAACAUGGGGCUAUCGGGGAUAAUUGACAUAGACACCCUUUCGGAGUUGCCAUAUUUGCAGUCAAUAAGCUUCAAGAACAACUUCUUUGACGGUCCAAUGCCUAGCAACAUAAAUAAACUUAGGACUCUUAGAGCAUUGUAUCUGUCGAAUAACAAUUUCUCCGACGAGAUUCCAGGUGAUACUUUUUCGGGCAUGAACUUGAGGAAAGUCAAUCUGGAAAACAAUGAGUUUACUGGGAAAAUUCCCAAGUCUCUCACGGAACUGCCUAAACUUGUGGAUUUGCAGCUGCAGAAUAACAAGUUUGAAGGAGAAAUACCUUAUUUUAAACAAAAAGAUUUAGUAGCAAAUUUGGCUAACAACAGACUUGAGGGUCCAAUUCCAGCUGCGCUAAGUGAUGAGAAUUCAAGCUUUUUCAAUGGUACGUCUUAUUUCAUUGAUUUGUCCCAAAGCCAAAACUUUACCAAUUUAAGCUCUUGAUCAAGGACAUGUCGGUAAAUUUUGAGCAACUAACACAUCAUUCUUAGUUUUAAAUUUCCCCCCUUAAAUGUGAUUUAGUUGCUUAUAGCACUUUAAGAAAAUGAAAAAGAAAAAAAGUUAAUCUUAUGAUUUUCUGCUAAAGAAAACACAUGAUCUUUCCAAUUUAUACAUUAAAUUAGUAUUUCAGUUGCAGGGUAUGCAUAGUUAAUUAUCCAACAAAAGUUUACGAAGCAAAAAUCAUGUUAGGUAUAACUUUACUUGCAUUUUUCAGUCUGAUUUACUGAAAGAUCUGCAAGUUUGAAGAUACCCUGCUAUCAAAUUAUCAAGCUUUACAAUUAUAUAUUAUUAAUUUAUUAUUGGUAGUUUAGUAAUCACUAAGUAAAGAGAAUCUUAAUAUCUCUCAUACAUAGCAGAGUAUCUGAUGUGCUAUAUUAAAGAGGACAAAUUAGAAGUAAAAUGAAUGAAAAAGAUAAACCAAGAUGGAUCAAGUCACAGAGAAGAAAACUAUUAAAAAAGAUAGCAAGAAAGAUACCAUUGUUCUUGAUCUCCAAGUGUUUGGAAGUAAUUUGUUUAGUGGCAUGCACGUUCAUCCUGAAAUUUAAAAAAAGUCAUUGUAAAACCAAACAGUUUAUCAGCACCAAAUAAUUUAUCAUAUUACUAUAUUCUUUAUUAUAUUAUAAAAAGUUCCAAAUAUGUCCUUUCCAUUAUAAUACUGGUGAUAAUAACUAACAAUUUAUGGUAACCAACAUUAACUCCUCUUUAUUCAAAAGGCAAAACAAGGAAAUACUGUUAGGCUCACUGAGAAAGUCAUGUUUGCCUUUGUUUUUGUCCCCAAAUGAGUGUCAAUCUUUCAAAAAUUGACGCUGACAGAGUAGAUGAGGAGGAGGAUAAUGACGAUGAUAAAUUUUUAGAAAAUGAAAUUAUAUGUCGAUUAAUUUUAUGUCACAUGUGGAUCGCAACUAAGCUGGAAUUGUGGAAUUGCAAGCCAUAAAAUAGAAUAGUAAUAUGUGGAUCCCUUUUUUAUACUCUCAUUUCUCAUGUAUCUACAUACUUUGAUAUUUAAUAUCGAUAUAAAUAUAUCGUCAUAUAUAGCAAGACUCUAAAUUUUUGUAUAAUUUAAAUGAUAAUGAUUAUCAUCCAAAAAAAUAGAAGAAACACAAGAUAAUCUCCUGACUAGACAUAUUAUUCAUAGAUUAAACAUGUAACAUUAUAUUUUACUGGCCUGAUUGAGCAGGAAACAGCCUGUGUGGUGCACCUCUGGACAAAUGCAAGCCCUCCAAGAAGCGAUCUAUCCCAAAAGUUGCCAUCAUCGUUGCUGUCG
This 1814-nucleotide long non-coding RNA is filed under the name Panax ginseng (ginseng). RNAcentral's name for it is "long non-coding RNA (PGIN_LNC017577)". The record is from RNAcentral. Lineage: Eukaryota; Viridiplantae; Streptophyta; Magnoliopsida; Apiales; Araliaceae.